AUUGAACGCUGGCGGCAUGCCUUACACAUGCAAGUCGAACGGUAACGGGCCUUCGGGUGCCGACGAGUGGCGAACGGGUGAGUAAUGCAUCGGAACGUACCUUUCAGUGGGGGAUAACGUAGCGAAAGUUACGCUAAUACCGCAUAUUCUGUGAGCAGGAAAGCAGGGGAUCGCAAGACCUUGCGCUGAUUGAGCGGCCGAUGUCAGAUUAGCUAGUUGGUGAGGUAAAGGCUCACCAAGGCGACGAUCUGUAGCGGGUCUGAGAGGAUGAUCCGCCACACUGGAACUGAGACACGGUCCAGACUCCUACGGGAGGCAGCAGUGGGGGAAUUUUUGGACAAUGGGCGCAAGCCUGAU
This 357-nucleotide ribosomal RNA is filed under the name uncultured bacterium. RNAcentral's name for it is "bacterial SSU rRNA". It matches the Rfam family "Bacterial small subunit ribosomal RNA", at positions 30 to 387 of the family's 1533-position model. The record is from RNAcentral.